GCUCCUUUAGCUCAGUGGUAGAGCGGGCGAUUGCAGUAAUGUCAAUUCAUCGCCAGGUCGAUUGUUCGAACCAGUCAGGGAGCU
This 84-nucleotide transfer RNA is filed under the name Drepanopeziza brunnea f. sp. 'multigermtubi' MB_m1. Its description in RNAcentral is "Marssonina brunnea f. sp. 'multigermtubi' MB_m1 tRNA". It matches the Rfam family "tRNA". From Rfam's summary of the family: Transfer RNA (tRNA) molecules are approximately 80 nucleotides in length. Their secondary structure includes four short double-helical elements and three loops (D, anti-codon, and T loops). Further hydrogen bonds mediate the characteristic L-shaped molecular structure. tRNAs have two regions of fundamental functional importance: the anti-codon, which is responsible for specific mRNA codon recognition, and the 3' end, to which the tRNAs corresponding amino acid is attached (by aminoacyl-tRNA synthetases). tRNAs cope with the degeneracy of the genetic code in two manners: having more than one tRNA (with a specific anti-codon) for a particular amino acid; and 'wobble' base-pairing, i.e. permitting non-standard base-pairing at the 3rd anti-codon position. The record is from Rfam by way of RNAcentral. Lineage: Eukaryota; Fungi; Ascomycota; Leotiomycetes; Helotiales; Drepanopezizaceae.